RNAcentral lists this transfer RNA (91 nucleotides) under Streptomyces noursei. RNAcentral's name for it is "tRNA-Glu". Lineage: Bacteria; Bacillati; Actinomycetota; Actinomycetes; Kitasatosporales; Streptomycetaceae. The record is from RNAcentral.
GCCGACCAGGGCGGUGGAGUUGCCGGCGCCGCCGGUCUCCGCGGCGGUCGGAGUCCACAGCGCCCGGUCGUGCCGUUCGCCCUGGGCGGCG